This 427-nucleotide ribosomal RNA is filed under the name uncultured bacterium. RNAcentral's name for it is "partial 16S ribosomal RNA". It matches the Rfam family "Bacterial small subunit ribosomal RNA", at positions 354 to 796 of the family's 1533-position model. The record is from RNAcentral.
GUGGGGAAUAUUGGGCAAUGGGGGCAACCCUGACCCAGCGACGCCGCGUGAGGGAAGAAGGCCUUAGGGUCGUAAACCUCUGUUGUGUGGGAAGAAGGAAGUGACGGUACCACACGAGGAAGUCCCGGCUAACUACGUGCCAGCAGCCGCGGUAAUACGUAGGGGACGAGCGUUGUCCGGAAUUACUGGGCGUAAAGGGCGCGUAGGCGGUCAUUUAAGUCAGCUGUGAAAUGGUCCGGCUCAACCGGAUCAUGGGGUUGGAACUGGAUGACUGGAGUGCUGGAGAGGCAAGUGGAAUUCCCAGUGUAGCGGUGAAAUGCGUAGAUAUUGGGAAGAACACCGGUGGCGAGGGCGACUUGCUGGCCAGCAACUGACGCUGAGGCGCGAAAGCCAGGGGAGCAAACGGGAUUAGAUACCCGAGUAGUCC